RNAcentral lists this long non-coding RNA (24931 nucleotides) under Brachypodium distachyon (stiff brome). Its description in RNAcentral is "long non-coding RNA (BDIS_LNC000258)". Lineage: Eukaryota; Viridiplantae; Streptophyta; Magnoliopsida; Poales; Poaceae. The record is from RNAcentral.
UCGGCCGUCGCGGCGCCCCUGGCCGUGCCCCGCGGGCUGAGCAAGGCUUCUCUCGGGUCAGCGACGUUCCGGCCUCUGCAGGCGAGGCCUGGGGCCGCGAGGAGGAUGUCGGCGGUCGUGAGGGCGUCGUCGUCGUCGGGGGCGACGGCGCAGGAGAAGCUGACGGCGGGGCUGGCGGCGGCGGCGGUGGCGGCGGCGCUGGUGCUUCCCGAGGUGGCGGAGGCGGCGAGCCCGGGGCUGUCGCCGUCGCUCAAGAACUUCCUGCUCAGCAUCGUCUCUGGCGGGGUCGUCUUCGCGGGCAUCCUUGGCGCCGUCGUCGCCGUCUCCAACUUCGACCCCGUCAAGCGGACCUGAUCGUGCUAAAUUCCGGUCCGACGCCCCGGGGCUCGCUCGAUUUGUAAUCUCUCUUUGCUCUGCGUUCUCAUUCCGAGACGUCGACCGUGUAUGUAGAAGAGAUAUAUCCAUUGUUAUGGUAUAUUAAUGGAGUUCUGGUUAAUGGUUGUGUGUACUCUGCUCCUCUGCUGUUUAAUUUGAUUGAAAAAACAAACAAACUUGAGAAGCUGCCUGCGUUCCGGGAUUCAUCGAGAUCGAGCGAGUGACUCAACUGACUCUUGACCAAAUCUGCUUCUUUGCCGAGCUCUGGUUUUAUCUCUUCAAUUAAUAUACCAUAACAUUUGUCAUCCGCUAUGUUAACAAUUGUUUUCUGACCGUUGCUUCAGCGCACGGAUCCGCCACUCAAGAUAAGCCCGCUUCCGCCGAAUUCGCUUCCUCCUUGGCCGCCGCAGCACCGCUAGCCUUGGAGCAGCCGUCCUCCCCCUUGAUUUUUCCGACGCGCCCCUUGGGACGACCGGCCGCCUUCCUUUUGUUGUCCUUCGCCUUGCUCUUCGUGGUGCACGACCUCAGCGAGAACCUUUUCUGGCCGGACAUCGUAAGAUUCCUGAUCUGCUCGCGUUCAAAAGGGGAUGAGUCGACUUGCGUUCGCAGGCGGUCGGGGCGUCGAUCAGGGCGUCGAUCGGGACGUUGAUCGGGGUGGUGCUCCUUGCGGGGGGAGAGUUGAUCGUGGCACGUUGUGUUCCCGAUUUUGGGGAGCUGAGGAGGAGUUCUCGAGCGAUGAGGAUGCGGUGGCGGAACCUUCUCCCCGGCCGCAGGUUGGGGAUUUCAUGGCGGCGGCUAUGGCCAAACUCCCUGCACGUCGGCAGAAGUUUGCGCCGGGAGGGAGACCAUCAGGAGGCGGAUUCGCGCAUCGCGAGGAAUGGUGGAAAUCGCACCAUCAAAAUGGAGAUGGAUCGUUUCGUUUGAUCCCUCAGUUGGAUUCGAGAGUUGAUUCUCGUCAUAUCUCGAAUCUAGGGAAUGAGAUUGCACCAGAUGAUCGAACUGGCAAUCAUCUGAGUGGGGAUGGUGAAAUCGCUUCUCCGAUUCGGUGCAUGAGGUUGUUUCGGGAGGGAGAUGGAAUUGUAUCCUCAGUUUGUGAGGUUCGUCCAGAUCGAUCUUCGGAGAUACUAACUGAUACCGAGAUCGUUGUUUCACCUUCAGUUGCUACAGGUCCUUGUGGAGGGAGGGAAUAGAGUUUUGUUGAAACGCAUGAUGGGUGUGCCACGGCGGAUGUGGUGGAGGUUGAGGGUCCUACACGACGAGGUCCGUUUGACCUGGUUGAGCUCAACCAUGGUGGCUGUAGGGUCCAGGAGGAGAAUAUUCCGAGUCCCGGUUUCCCCUUUGAUCACAUUUCCCCUCUUUUCCACCAUUUUGUGGCGACAGUGUGGUUCUAGGGCUUCGGAUUGUACCGCCGGGGUGGAGGCGGUGAAUCCUGUGAGUGAAGGUGGGGGAGUGAUUGCGGUGGAGAUGGCUGAUGGAGGAGACUGGCGUGGUCGAGGUGGAUUUGGUGCUGGUGGACGUGGCGGCGGUGGAACUAGCCAUCCUUGGCAGGGUGGGUGUGGAGGGGGCGGUGAUGCCCGUUCCUACAACAAGCAGCGGCAGUCGUAUGGGCAAAAUUUGGGUAUGAAACGCUUCUCCUCUCAAAACCAGACUGGGUCGGACGUCUCAAUUUCAGCAGAAACAGUAUCAGCAUACAGAUCCGCAACUGCAACUGCAGCAGUUUGCGAGCGAUGUGGAUGGACGCGGAGGAGGAGCUCAACAAGGGGGACAGGGAAUGUUGCAGAUGGUUGGUGGUCAGAAUCAAAUCAUUUCACACAGAGUGGUGAGUAUUGGUAUAGGCGAUCCGGUGGCUUCUAGAGGUACUGGGACUCAGAAUCAGUCGGGAACUCAGAAUCAAAUUGCUGUGGGGAAUGAUGGAAAUGCUGGGCUAAGACAGAAUGGUGGAUCUGGUGGUAAUCAGGUGACUAGUGGAAGUAUUGCUGCUCAGAAACAAUUGGAGGGUGGUGCCAAUCAGAACCAGGGAGGGGCUAGAAUGGGGAGGAAGAUCUUGCAAUGUCAGAAAUGUAAGGAAUUGGGGCAUGUGGUGAAGUAUUGUACUGUUGUGAUUCAAUGCAUUAUCUGUGCUAAGGAAACUCAUCUAACUGAAGAUUGUGUGUGGCCAAAACAAGUUAAAUCUGUUGCUAGCUUUGUGGGGUAUGGAGCGCCUGGGCUGGGAUGUAUUCUGGUGCAUAAUUCAAAGAUUACCCAUCUAGCUGAUCAUGUAAACCCAAUGGCCAUCAUACAGACCAAAGGAGGUGGAGUUUCAGAGCAACAAAUUGUGGCUGGAUUUCAAGCAAUGUUUAAGUGGAAUUGGGAAUGGAGGGCCAAGGCAAAUGGGAACAAUCAAUUCUUGAUGAGGAUGCCAAGUAAAGCUAAACUUGAAGAGCUUUGCAACUUUGAAGAUUUUGGGCUUAAAGGGACAGGGGUCUUUGUUAAGGUGCUUGAGUGGAUACUUGAAGUAACAGCUAAUGGGAAGUUAAAUACAGCUUGGGUAUAGGUUCAAGGUUUGCCUAAUUCAUUGAAACAUUAUAUGGGGGUUUGUGAAGCUGGCUCUGUUCUAUGCCCUGUAAUUGAUGUGGACAUGGAGAGUUUGAGAAACCAAGAUCUGAUUAGGAUUAAAAUGGGGCUUCGAGAUCCUGGCAAACUACCUAUUCAGACUGAAAUAACUACAAGUGAGCUGUUUAUGUAUGAUCUGUAUUUUACUCUAGAAAGUGUUGUGGAGGAAGGGUGACAAAGAAAUCUUAGGGCUGUUAACAUCAGAGGGAGCAUAGAGGGUGAAGACAGAGAUCCAAAGAAAUAGAGGUUGGGACUUAAUACUAGAGAGAUCAUUUAGUUGGGGAGUCUCUCAAUUGCCCAAUUUGAAUCUGCUAAGAAAACUAAUGAGGGAGAUGUUAGGAAUAGCUUUGCACCUCUGCUUAUGGAUGAAGGUGGGAGCAGUGGAGGGGGAUCACUUGAUCUGGAGAAGAUAAAGGAAGCUGAUGAGGAACUUUCUAGAAAAUUAGCUUUAAUUGAGAAAGAAAAAAGGUCCUAGCUGACUUAAUUCUUGCAAAAGAGAAUAUGGUUUUAGAGGUGGAAGAUCAUAAAGCUCAACUUGCUACCACCAGUAAAAAAUUGCUGGAGACACAAAAGCUGAUUGAGAUCCAUAAAGAUUAUGGAGUGGGUGGGAGCCAAAACUCUCAAGAGGAAAGUGAGAAACAAGUGGAUUAUACUACCAGUCAGGAGAAAGAGAUGGAUGAAUUUGAUCUGGAAGAAGUUGAGGAGGUACCAGAGGUGGAGGAUACAAAUGACAAGGGGGUGGUUCCUAACCCAAGAAGAUGUGGAAGACUGAAAGGGAAAGAACACAAGAAAGUGGAGGACUUGGCUAUUGAAAGAGCUCAGGCCAAGAACAAUGCGGGGCAAGGUACUGCUGAUCACUUAUCUUUUGUUGAUUCUGAUAAUGUUUCCUUGCACCAAAUUGCUUCUGCCAUAGGAAUUAAUUUGGGUAUUGCUAUUGAUAUGGUUGAUCAUAAUGUGGGCUUGCUCAAGGAUCUUGAGCAAGCUAGAAUAAAUCUUUAUAAUCAACAAAGCAGGGCACCUGAUUUGGGUGGACCUACUAAUGAUACUGUUGGUUUAUCUGGUGAUAAGUUACUAGAUGAACUUUUGGCUGAACUAGAUGCUGAGGAACAAAUGGAUAUUACUUUAGAUGAGAAUGGAUACCAGAAGGUGGUAAGUAAAAAGAAAAAGAAAUUGAAAAAGCACUCACCUGACAUUGUUAGUGUGAAGACAUUAGUUAAAUAUAGAAGGAGCAAAACAUGAAACGCAUUUUCUGGAACAUUAGGGGGAUGGGCAAAGAGGCUAAACAGAGAUAUAUUAGAGAAUUGAUAAAUGAAACACAUUUGAACUUCUUGGGUUUACAGGAGACAAUGAAAAAUGAAUUUUCUAAUGUAGAUCUAGCAAACCUGGGAGGAGGGGGGACUUUUUCUUGGAAAUGGUCACCCUCUAGAGGGAGGUCUGGAGGGAUUCUUGUUGGGGUGAGAGAUUCUGUUUUUGACAUAGUGGAACAACAAAAUGGAAAUUAUUAUGUUCGACUGUUGCUAUAUGACAGAAAUCAUGAUGUUAGAUGGAAUCUGGUUGUGGUUUAUGGGGCUGCUCAAAUAAAGCAUAAAGAGGAUUUCCUGCUUGAAUUAUCUCAAGUUUGUCAGGAUAGUAGUUAUCCUAUUCUGAUGGGUGGUGAUUUUAACAUAAUCAGGAAAGAAAAUGACAAAAAUAAAGAGGUAGGUUAUAAUCGAUGGAGCUUCCUGUUCAAUGCUAUAAUUGAACAUCCAUGUCUGAGGGAAUUGGCACUCAAUGGGAGACAAUUCACUUGGUCGAAUGAACAUGAGAUUCCAACUUUUCAAAAAUUGGACAGAAUCUUAAUGAGCAUAGACUGGGAGGAUAUGUAUCCUCUCACAAUAGUUUCUGCUCUUGACAGAAUAAGCGGAUUUUUGGCCUGUACGUUCACUGGAUUUUGCUAUCACACCACAAGUUUCUGCUUGAAGAUCUGUGCAACAUGGUUCCAUGGUGCACCGGCUGGGGGAACCCCACGCUGGCAAGCUGUUCUUCGUAGCCCUGUCAAGACCUGGUCCUCCUUGUCCUGUCCCCCGAAAUUACGUGUUGGCUAGCAUCGCGUGCUCUGCUUUUCUGGUGCAUCGCAUCAGGUGGGCCCUGGGCUUUCUUCGUUUAGCAUCUGCGCCUGUGGGAACGGAAAGAGUACAGAGGUUCCAAGAAAAUGCCGAUUUCAGAAACUAUCCUGCUGGAGGUGCCGCUCUCUCGCCACCUGAACGGGUGGGGGGGUGAUUGGUAGCCCGCCGGCCAUAAGGAUGGAGACAUGACUGGACCGGAUGAGCCCAUCAACUUCUAACCAGGUUAGUUACGCUUUGGUUGCAAGGGGUCGACGGUGUGUGUUUGGGGGUUGUGAGUUCUAGGGACUCUUGGUGCGGCACUUGGUCAUGGGUGGUUUUUUGGAUUUGUCACACCGGGUGACGCUGAUUUUGAUUCUGUUUUUGAUGUUUCUCAGAUAGACUUGGACCUUGCUUCGCAAAUGUGCUACUCCGCUGGCCUUGUUCCGGCGGAGCAAGGGUGUGAGAAUAGUCAGGCAGCGCGCGUGUCAGCAGAUCUGCUAGAUUUCGAUCUUGAAGGUUGUAGUAGGAUGGCUGUAGAAGGUCGAGGUAUCGAAGAAUUAGCCGGUAACAACGCGCCGCAUCCUGUGCUAGUUUCAAAUCCGCAAUGUGCAGCCGCCUAGUGCGCCUGCUCCGUCAAAUGAUCUGCAAAUGAUCUUACCGAAACGCGGAUUCAUCUGCUGACAGUCUUUCACUUCAGGGUCUGACUCACCACCGCUUAGCAGGUCUUCUGCUCGACGAUUCAGGUGGGCUGAAGUGCCGGAAUGGUAGAUCUCUCUGUCAAGAAUCUUGGCUACAAGUUUCAUGUUCUCUUUGACGAUCGCGACCUUGAAUUUGUAGGUGAGCAUAAUGCACCGGGCAUUGUGGUACUUCAGCGCGUCCACAACAUCAAGACCGAGCAUGCCAGGGUAGUUUGAUGACAGGAAGUCAGUGAACUCGCUGCCAUGGUGCCAUGGUGUCUGCCAGUAUCAUCUUGUUGAUGACCGCCUCGUCUGCGUACUGGCUGAUGUGUGGCAUGACAGUGUGAGCGUUGCCAAGAUGUCCAAGCGUGAUGUUGUCGAGAUAAAGGACCUAUUUGGAAAACAAGUUAGCAUAUGAAGAUGGGAUAUGGGAAGGAAAGAGCCAAGCAACAAAGUACUUCCAUAUAAUUUUGAAGAUGCAAGUGUUGCUACCUGGACUAGCAAUGGACAUCCUGUUAUUGACAUUGUAGCCUUGUUGCUACGGAUGUCCUCCUGCACCCUAUCGGCCACGUCAAUCAUGUGAUCAAGAAAGUAUAGGCCCCAAUUAUAGUCCUUUAUCUCACUAGCCUUGUAAAGAGAGCCCCAAAAUUCAGAGGAACCAUGCCCAUGUUUCCCGGUUGGAGCAAAGAACCGGCCAACGAUCCAUACAACGAAGGAAAUCUGGAACUCUUUUACGUUCUCUUCGGUGGUGUCAUCGUCCCAUUCCCUCUGCACCACUAACUCGGCUGCCUGCAACCCGUUCGAGCAGUGUUGGAUAGCACCCAUGGCGUGCCUCACAAAGUCGAUUUUCUCAUCGUUGGUGUCCGGAUCCAAUGCGCACACUGUCUUCCCUCGAGAGGGGACACCGAUCAUCAGCUCAAAAUGUUGCGGGCUGAGCUGGAGCGUGGUGUCUCUUCCAACUAACAUGGACCUUUUGCUCACAUCUACCCUGGUAAGGAUCCAUAGAGUAUACUUGAGGUUGACUCGAUUUAUCCUAGGAAUGUCCAGGCAGCCACGAAAACCAAUAUCCCUGACUGCAACCUUCUUAGCAUCAUAGAAUUUUGUUAUAAUGGCACUUACAUGGCGGGCCGAGCUUCGGGCUAUCCGAGACUCAGCACCCCCGUCGCUGUCUGUCUCUGACUGCUCGCUGUCUUCCCCAGCGGUUUCAACGUUCCGGGCGGCGACAAAGGCCCAGGAUCUGGUUCGGGCGAGCCUGGUCCUGGCGAGUGCGCUUUCGGGGGCGAGAUGGCACCGCUAUCUCCGCGGCAAGUUUCUCCACCUGCGACAAAUUAACAAAAUAAAGGGAACGGUCAGAUCUGCAGAUGUGUGAGAUUUGAGGAUGAACAAACAGAGAUUUUGACAACCACUUGGCCAGAAACCAUGACGGGCGUCGACGGUACUAAGCGGGGAGCAUGCUGCUGCAACGAGAUUUGAUAAUAGUGCUUGUAGCUGGGUGGAGGACUGAAGUUGGGAGUGACGAAGAAUACCUGGGAGACGGAAACGCGCAUCUGUCAGGGAGCAACGAUGAAGUGACCUGCAUAUCCGGGAUUCCAGGGAACAUUGGGCGAACGGUUCUUACGGCCUGAAAGUCAACAGAGGUAUCAUGCUGUGGGGCCCAGGUUCUAAUCUGCAAGCUAAGGACGCACAAUGAGGGGUGGUUUAGGAAGAGAAAGCUUCGUCACACUGCAGGCGUCUCCCCGACAAGAUCUAGAUCCUGAUGAUAAAUUUGAACCCUAGGAGAACAAAUCAAGCCUGGGAUUCCGCGGAGUGCGCGACUAUUACUGGCAGGAGGCAAGACAGCAUUCGCAUAGUAGCGCUGGCGGAUCGAACGAGCUCGCAUGCUUGCUGCUGUCCGUGGAAAUGUUAGGUGCGGGGAUCUUGUUCCGGCUCACGAUUUCCAUGGGUAAGCAGUGGGGUGGACGGGGGAGCAAAUGGGGAAAGGGCGGAGUGAUGCAGGACCGAACGACGUAGGAUGCACGGAAAGGUGGAACGUGUGAGGACAGAGUGCUUUAGGACGUCGAGUCACACGAAUUGAGGACAGGAGAAGUACCUGUCCUAUGGUUCGGUCCCCACGCCGGAUGCUACAAGCUAGAACAGGAAGCGUGAGCCCUAUAAAGAAGUAGUAGGAAACGCGAGGAGAUCGGACGGCAGCAGAUGUACGUUCCAAUGAACGUACAGGCCAAACUGCAUUUCCCCUUGACAGAAUUAUGUCAGACCAUGUUCCUUUAUUAUUAGAUUCUGGAGUGGGAUUGAAAAAGGAUCAUGUUUUUAGAUUUGAGAGCAACUGGUUUGAAAGGGUUGGAAUAAGAGAAAGCAUUCAACAUAUUUGGGCAGCUGCCCCACAACAUCUUAUAUCUUUAGAUAAAUGGCAAUGGAUUUUAAGAACAAUCAGGAAAAAAAUUAAAGGGCUGGAAUAGGAACGUGGAUGCCCUUUAUAAAAAAUUGAAAAAAGAGAUCUCUGCUCAAGUGGCUGACCUUGAUGUACUGGCUGAAUCUACUUGUGUUUCUCCAGCUCAAUUGGAACUGAAGAAAGGGCUGGAACUACAGUACAAUAGAUUAUUGAGACAAGAAGAGUUAAAAUGGCAACAGAGGUCUAAGGAGAAGGAUAUUCUUGAGGGUGAUAAUAAUACAAAAUAUUUUCAUGCUAAAGCUAAUGGGAGAAGGAGGAAAAAUAUUAUCCUAUCCCUGGAACAGGAAGAGGGGGUGAUACAUGGAGAGGAGAACCUGAUGAGUUAUAUCACUGAUUUUUAUAAAAAAAAACUUUUUGGGCACUCCAAUAGUGCAUAGAUUGCUCUGGACUAUCAGAAUGGUGCCAAAAUUACUGAUGAUCAUAUUUCCAGUUUGAUCUCUCCUUUUACUAUGGAAGAACUAAAAUUUGCUGUCUUCAAUAUGGAGAGAACUAAAUCACCUGGGCCAGAUGGAUUCCCCGCAGAAUUUUAUCAAGUUUACUGGGAUAUUGUCAAGAAUGAUCUGUUUACUCUGUUAUGUGAAUUUCACAAUGGGGGAUUGCAGAUUGAGAGGAUUAAUUAUGGGAUAAUUACAAUAAUUCCUAAAUGUAAGGAUGCAAAACAAAUACAGAAGUGUAGACCUAUUUAUCUGUUAAAUGUUAGUUUCAAAAUAAUUACAAAAGUCUUAAUGAACAGGCUCUCUUUGUGUGUGGGUGAAGUUAUUUCCAAUAAACAAACAGUUUUCCUUAAGGGGAGAUAUAUAAUGGAGGGGGUCAUGGUGUUGCAUGAGACACUUAACUUCAUACACACUAGAAAAAAAUCUGCCAUUUUAUUUAAGGUUGAUUUUGAGAAAGCGUAUGAUAAAAUUAAAUGACCUUUUGUGUUACAAAUGUUAAAAGCUAAAGGAUUCCCUGACAAAUGGUGUGACUGGAUAAUGGGAAUCAUGAGGGGAGGGAAAGUUUGCAUUCGAGUCAAUGAUUGUUUUGGGCCCUAUUUUUCCACUUAUACUGGACUCAGGCAAGGGGAUCCUAUUUCUCCCCUUCUCUUUGACCUUGCUGCUGAUGCACUUGCUAUGUUGUUGGAGAAUGCUCCAACAACACUGGCUUGAUUGAAGGGGUAAUACCUGAGUUAAUUGAAAGGGGGGUCAACAUUCUUCAAUAUGCUAAUGACACCAUUUUUAUGAUCGAGGAUGAUAUAGAGAGUGCUAGAAAUUUGAAGUUUGUGUUGUGUGCUUUUGAACAAAUGUCUGACUUAAAAAUUAAUUUCCACAAAAGCGAUUUAUAUUGCUUUGGGGAAGCGGUUAAUAAGGACAUAUCUACAACAAUAUUUUUACUUGUAAAAGAGGGGAUCUUCCUCUUAGCUACUUGGGGAUACCUAUAGAUGCUGUGAGACUGAGGAACAAACAUUGGAAAAGGGUGGAAAGCAAGAUGGAGAAUAGGCUGGGAUGUUGGCAGGGGAGGAUCCUUUCUACCGGAGGAAGGAACACUCUCAUUAAUUCUUGCUUGAGUAGUAUUCCACUUUAUAUGAUGUCUUUUUAUGAGUUGCCAGUGGGUGUUAGAAAAAGGCUUACUUUUUUAGGGCUAGAAUGUUAUGGCAGGAAGAGGAAGGGGUUAAGAAGUACCAUUUAGUGGCUUGGGAUAAAGUUUGUCGGUUGAAGGAGCAAGGGGGUCUGGGUAUUCUGAAUUUGGAUGUGAUGAAUAAGGCUUUGCUGGGUAAGUGGAUAUGGAAAUUCUUUAAUUCUAAGGGGUUAUGGCAGAAUCUUUUGCAUCAGAGGUAUGUGAAGGAUAAGUGCAUUGGGAGUGUUAAACAUAGGGCUGGGGAUUCGAUGUUUUGGCAAGAAAUCUUGCAUGUUAAAAAUAGUUUCUUUGACUUGUGUAAGUUUCUAAUUGGAAAUGGCAAAAACACUCGGUUUUGGGAGGAUUGGUGGAUAGGGACAAAACCUUUGAUGCUCCAAUUUCCUACUUUAUAUGAGAUCUACUUCAGUAAACAGAUCUCAGUGGCUGCGGUUGUGUCAAAAAAAGGGGGUUUGUUUUCGCCGAACUCUCUGCGGUGAUUUGUUUGUGGAUUAGCAUAAAUUUUACAAAUGUGUGAAAGAGUGAAGUUGAAGAAUACAAAUGAUAAGCUUUGGUGGAGCUUGUCUCACAAUGGAAAGUUUACAGUUAGAUCUUAUUAUAGGAAAUUGAUGUGGUCUAAUAUGGACUUUCCACAAAAGUUUUUGUGGAAAAUCAAAAUCCCUUUGAAAUUAAGAUUUUCCUUUGGUUGAUUACUCAUGGGAGUAUUUUAACUAAAGAGGUUCUACACCAUCGUGGGUGGAAAGAUGAUACGCGGUGUCAGUUUUGUGGCCUUGAAGAGACAAUUGAUCAUUUGUUUCUUCAUUGUUCCUUGGCACGAUUUGUUUGGAAUGUGUUAAAAUGUGCUUUCAGUUUACCUUUGUUGCCAACCACUGUUAGUGAGGUGUGGGAUACUUGGCUACCCUCCUUCACUGGGCAGACGAGGAAACUGGUAAUGGUGGGCAUUGCUGGGAAUUUCUGGACGUUGUGGAAUACCAGGAAUAAAGCCUUUUUAGUAAUAUAAGAUUGGCAUCUCCAUUCGGGGUGGUGAAGAUGGUGUGUUACUGGCUUAACAUUUGGUCUAUUCUGCAGACAAAGGAAGCAAGUCGAAAUCUGCUUCAGUGGGGGAUUAAGCUCAUUGAACAGGUGCCGCGAGAAGUUUUUGAGGCAGUGAGGGCAUGGAAUCCACUACAACGACGCUUGGAGUGGUGCGACUAGUUGAAUCUGACGAUCGCUGUUCCUGGAAGCUGUUCUGGCUCUCAGAUGUUGAGAGCAUUGUAGGCGGAUGGCUCAGUUUGUCCCUGUAGCUAUCUUGUCUUGUCGCUUCUCCUAGAUAUGUCUGAGUUGCACAGCAGUAGUCUUUAUAAGCUCUGCUGAUUUCUGUCUGUCUAUUUUUUCUGUUUUUUUGAACCUGAACAUUGUAGUUGGUUUCUUUAAUGAAAUCGGAGAGGGCGAGACCCCUCUUUUUUUUUAAAAAAAAAACAAUUGUUUUCUCUGACAUAAUUUUGUUUGGUCUUAAAACUCACCGGUUUCAGCUUUCUGACCGUAAAUGUGGUAGCACGACCAGGGACGGAUGCAGGAAUUCAACAUGAGGAGGGCGAUUUGGGGUUUGGGGGGGGAGGGGGCAGAAUUAGAGAGAUGAUCUAUUUUAAAGGGAUUUUAAUGGAUUGAUUAGUACUGUACAUAUUAAGUAAAAUCGAAUUUAUUAGGGGGGGCAAAGGCCCCCGGCGCCCCCCUUGUCUCUGUCCCUGAGCACGACUGAAACCAAAAUCCAACUAAUGUACUCCAUCUAUCCGUCAUCAUAAGAUGUUUUCCUCGCAACCUAGCCACAGCAACGGAAAUUAUGAGGAGCGCGUUUUACCACCGAGUUACGCUGUCAGUUUCUCGGCUGAAAUGCAUGACAAUGGCAGAAAAUUUACUGCUCCAAAUGGCGAAGAAGAAAUUCAUAGUGCUCUAACAUGUAUUUCAAAAAAACAAUUAUCUGUCUUUAUUGAUUCAAUAAUACAAGUGAAAAAUAUCGUAAAAACUAAAAUGAAUAUUGACAAAUGAAUAUUGAAAACAAUGAUUCCAAAAGUUAUUCAAAGUUAAAACCUUAAAAAUCAACAAAAUAUUGAUAUUUUUCAAAUGAGCCCCGGCGAUCAAUAGAAUCAUACAAACUGGACUAAGAGCAACUCCAGUAGAGCUCCCAAAUCUCUAUAUUGGGAAUCCCUAAAAAAAAAUUCUCUCCCCGAAUUUGCUAUCUUCCUAGACUCCCGAAAUCUCACCUUCUAUAAUUGAUUUACCUAUAUUUUAUUCAUACAUGUUCCAACUGUUUUGGAAAAGGGAGAGAGAUUUUGCUGCAAUCGUUGUGAUGGGUAGUAAUUAUCCAGUGCCCAAAUUUGAAGGCUCCCAGGAGGGAUCUUGGGGUCGGCCAAAUUCGGGAAGUAGGAUGGGGUUCUACUGGAUCCCUUUUUUUCACCAAAACCCUCCACAUUAGACUAUAGGGGUGGGAUGGGGGAAUAAUGGAGUUGCUCUAACCUCUUAAAAUCAAAUUCUCAGCGUUCUAGCAUUUUUUUUAAGAGGCGCAGCGUUCUAGCAAUUUUGUUUUCUGAGGUUGCUUCUUCCAUCUGGCCCGUUAGGCCCAACAAAUAACAUAAUACUUGGUCCAAACUCAAAUCCAACUCGGAGCUCGAUGGAAACUCCAGCCCAGUGUCCUUACCACUCACGGCCCAUGCCAAGCGGCCCACAUAAAGCGGGCGCGGACGUGCAGAGAGAGAGGACGGACCGACCGCUACACCACCAACCCCAACCCGCCGCUCGUUCUCGGGCUCAAGAGGGUCAAUCGCAAAACCCUAUCUUCUUCCCCCCAUCUUCCCCAGCGACGGCACCAGGCCCCUCCGCCUCUCUCUCGUGCCCGCACCCGGUACGGCUUCUCCUUCUACCUCCAUCGACGGGCUCCCCUCCAUAUCCUCACUCCGUUAUCCGUGUUUUUGUUGUUGUUGAUUUCUAGGGUUUGUAUUUUCGUUAUUCGGGGUCGGGGGCAUGUCUGUAUGCGCAUCAGAUGCGGGUUUGCUGUGUAGUUCGCAGGAUUACUGUUUCGAGGGUAGGUUCGUGUGGUUCUUGGAUCUGUAGUCGCGCUGCUGUCACUUUGGUAUCAUCUGAGUUACCUCGCUGUUCUAGGGUUUGUGGGUGCGUCGUAGGAAUCGGCGGGAGCUUUGCGCGCCUUGAACAGCUCGUGGGAGUUUAAACUGUAGGCUAUAUUUUCUCGGAAAGGUGGUUAACCUUAAGUUAAGUUUAUCUGAAAUUUUGGGUUUAUCUCCUGUACCCUGCGAUUCGACAUGAGAAAGGCCUGCUUACUGUAUCCGAAUCCUGCAUUUUUUUCGAACCAUCCUUGACUCUAGUUUUGAUGUAAUAGUGCUCCUUGGGAUUACAGGUUGCAGCAAGGAAGGAUGAGUAGGCGCUGGAGCCGGACUAUUUACGUAGGGAACCUCCCCGGUGAUAUCAGGGAGAGGGAGGUGGAGGAUCUCUUCUACAAGGUUGGUAUUUCUAAUUCCAUAGUGUGAAUCUUAUUUCUCUUGAAAACAAGGAAAUAGUGACAUAACUCUAAAAUACAUAGGACGAUGUUGUAGUUUACUGUUUUUUUCCUCUGGAUAACAGGAACACUCUAGUUUUGAUGUGUUAUUUUUCUCUCCUGAGUGCUGAAAAUAACAUUAAUAGUUGUGCCAUUCGGUAUUAAGAUAAUAAUCUGCAGUCCCUAAUUCACUCUGCAAUUUGGAAUUUUACUCCGAUUCUGCCUGAGUAUCUGAUGUUUAAUUCUUUCCGUGCAGUAUGGACGGAUUGUUGAAAUCGACUUGAAGGUUCCCCCUAGGCCACCUGGCUUUGCUUUUGUGGAGGUAACUCUUUGAAUAUGUUAAUCUUCUUUAUCUUUGCGAUCUGAAUUUAGAAUUUUUGUGCUUUUUAGGAGCUACUGAUUUUUUUCCGAGUUAGUGUAUAAUAUGGAUCCUGACUCUCAGUACUUGUUACCGUGCCAUAUAGUUUGAAGAUCCCCGAGAUGCUGAAGACGCGAUUCAUGGACGGGAUGGCUAUAAUUUUGAUGGAAAUCGGCUGAGGGUAGGUGCAAUGAGUUCCGCAUCAUGCUCUUCUCAGUUCACAUAUUUAAUCCUCACUAUCCACAGGUCGAACUUGCACAUGGCGGGAGGGCCAACUCUUCUUCGCUUCCAAACAGCUACGGUGGUGGAGGUGGAGGUGGAGGACGCCGUGGCGGUGUCUCUCGGCAUACAGAGUAUCGCGGUAUGGUAAACAUAUUGAAACGGUUACUGAGUACUCUACUUCUCUGUUUAUAAGCUAAUUCUUUGUGCGCCUUUUGACAGUUCUGGUUACUGGACUACCUUCUUCUGCAUCAUGGCAAGAUCUAAAGGUGAAUACUGCAAGACCAUAUUUUUCAUCAAUUUUUCAGCUUUAUUUUACCUUCUCACCGUUUUUCUCCUUAUUUCUCUGAAUGUUGCUGCAGGACCAUAUGCGAAAGGCUGGUGAUGUCUGUUUCUCUGAGGUGUAUCGUGAGGGUGAUGGUGAGUUAGUUUGGGUACCCAACUCCCUGCUGCACUAUAUUUUUCAUUUUUCCACUGUGUUCUGUUCACCCGGGCAAGAUGCAAAUGGAUUAGAUGAACAAGUUACAAGUCAGCUGCCAACAUUGUUAGAUGUAAAUUGCAUGCUUUUAGUGCCCACUUUAUAAUUCACGGCUGUUCUGAUUGAACUUAUUUCUAGAAAAUAGCAGUGAUAUCCUUUUCUUACCACAUCUUACAUGUUCAAACGUUCAUAUGGGACUCAUGGUGUGCGUGGUGCCUUGAUUGUAUUAAAACCCCAGCUUGAUUGCUAGUUCCAACUGUAUUAAUCAGGUUUAGUUAAGACAUGGCUGUUAACAGUGUACUUAUUUUCUAUCAAGUUAUUCGUGUUGUGUUGCUGCUACCUGUUGUUUACGUACAACAUCAUUGUUUGCUACAGGGACCACUGGAAUUGUGGAUUAUACAAACUAUGAUGACAUGAAGUAUGCUGUAAGUCCUCUCCUCUUUUCCUUUUCUUUUUUCCGGCUUCUCUUAUUGUUUGAGUUGCUAUUUUUUGUUACAUUGGAAUGCUGCUUUUCAUUACGCCUUCACAAUCUUGUUGAAUUUGUGGUUUUCAAGCACUGGGAUCGGCAGUGCCUUUACUUUGUAAUUGAAGUUGAAUUUUUUUUAAUGAACCAUGUGCAGAUAAGGAAACUUGAUGAUAGUGAAUUUAGAAAUGCCUUUUCGCGGGCACCUAUAAGGGUAAGUACACACUCUGAUGUCUAUUUUUAUAAUUUAUUCUGGGCUUGAACUUGUUCUGAAAUUAACCAACACACCACAACAUUGUUUUCUAAAGGUGAAAGAGUAUGCUGGCAAACGCAGCUGCUCAUACUCACGAAGCCGUAGCAGAAGCCGGAGUCAGAGCUACAGCAGAAGCAGGAGUCCAAGGUCAGGCUGUGAGAUUACAUUCUGUUGGCCCUGGGUAACAUAACUGAUCACUGAUCAAAAUUGUUAUGCUUUCAGCAAGUCUCCUAAGGCGAAACCAUCACGCCGUUCAGCAUCAAGAUCUCGAUCCAGAUCAGUUUCUUCCCAUCCACGGUCAGAGUCAAAGGGACGCUCUCCAUCAAGGUAACUUUGUCCCUGUUGUUAAUUCAGCAUGGUAAAUAUUGCAGUCUGCAAAGUUUCUGUAUAACCAAAUGCUUCUGGAGGUAAAUAUUGCCAUCGCACAUGUGUACACAUGUAUGCUCUGGUUGAAACUUGAAAAUAAUGGUCUGUGCGGAACAGCCUAAAUACUAUACAUCUAUCCAAGUUGGCAAGUGCAAACAAACUGUUAACCCUCAUGCUUUGGAUGUUGGAUUUACGAACAAGUCAUGAUUAAUUAAACUUACUGAUUUUUCCUAAUUGUUCUGGAAAUUAUCACAAGUUUUAUCACAUUCUAGUGUCAAAUGUUUCAUGUCUAACUAAAUUGGCUAGUGCCCGUUUCUUAAAGCGUCAAAUCAUUUCUUCCUUAGAUGAGGGAUUGUGCUGCGAUCUAGGGAUUGCGCAUUAGGAAAUUGAGGAUGGGGAUUUGGUCAAUUUGCACCAGCUCCAUUGGUUGACUGAGGUAUGGUAAUAAACUGGGAGCUGAACUGGAAGCUAAAAAUCAUCUAUUAUUGUUGACCUAAUGUACUGUAACUGAUUACAUCAGAGAUUGGGCAUAAGGAUUGGUUUGGAACUCUGGAAGUAGAGCAUUAAGGAUUGACGGUAUGGACUAUGACGGCACAUUGGGAUUUGCUCAGAUUUGAGUACAUGAGGAUUGUGAUCCUUUCUGGCUCCUUCACUGGCUUCAAAUCGGAGGGCUAUUCUAGCGUAUGAUCACGUAACAUUGACAUGAAACACUUUCAGUACUGCAUGUUUUUGACACAAGAAACUGAUUGCUUUUAAUCCUAAUGACUUCAUUUAACUUCCAUGUGGCCAUUUCAAUGCUUAAUUGGGAGGUAUCGAGGUUUCUGGAAGCAAGCUGUUCAAUUUGCAUUCUGAUUUUGAAUCCUGUUCGUUUCUGAAACCUUUUGCAGAUCACCAGCAAAAUCCCGAUCCCCUAUUGCUUCUGUAAGUAUUCUCAACGGUGCUUAUUUUUGUUGGUAAAGUUUGUGGUUGAAACUCACUUUUCGUUAUUUUUGCGCAGCCUGCCAACGGUGCAGCAGCAAGCCCCAAGAAACGCAGCCCAUCACGCUCCCCAUCUCCUCCUGAUGUAAUAUAGUUCUUACACUUGUUCUCGCGUACUGUUGAUAGUCAAGUGGUUGUUGAUCUUACACUGAUCCAAUUGCAUUUUCAGGCCAAAUCAGAAUAGAGCUGAUGUUCUGCUGGGUGGCGGGGUUGGAGCCAUGGUCCUCAAAACGCUUGGAUAUUUGUCGCCCUCGCCAACUUCGGAGCUCGCUGUUAAAGCACCUAGUUUUCCUAGGGCCCUGCGUGACAUUUCCUGUAAACGUAUUUGAAUGGGAACUUGAGAUUUAUGCACAAUUUCUUUAUGUUGACAAUUUACUUGGAUUAUCUAUGGUCGUAAGAAGACAUUUGAAAAAGAGUCAUACAUUCAUAAUAUGUGCUAUGUUUGUCGUACAUGGCGGUUGAACCGCUCUUCCUGACUGAUAAUUUAAACGCAUGCAUCAUACAUACUGGUACAAUUGGGUGCACACAGUCGUUACGUAAUGACACGAAUGCCGCACUGGAAUCUUUUAACGUAAUAUGACGCUGUUGGUUUACACAAUGUAUCAUCACUCUUGAUUGAAUCGGCGAUCAUUUGGUGUGCUUGGGCUGCUUGACGAUCAUGACGGAGCAGUGCGCGUGGUGUGCGCAGUAGUCGCUCACGCUCCCCAGAAAGGCCCUGCACCAUCAACAAGCGCUCAUUCAGUAGAUAGGUAGAUUCAGUUGAGUUGAGGAGGUGAAUCUUAGGCAGGAAUUUAGAAAGGCUGAGCAUUUGAAGCCUAGGCAGGAGAAUGCUGCAAAAACACCAUCGUCAUCUCUAGAAGAAAGGAGCUGCAGGAAGCAAGACGAACCUCUUGAUGGCGCCGUAGCCAUGGCUGCCGACGACGAGCAUGUCGGCCCGGUGCUUGUCGAUGGCGUUGCACAGCACUAUCCUCGGCUCCCCUUCCACCACCUCAACCACGCCCUCAACCUGCCGGAUUGAUUCAGCCAGUCAGUCCAAGCUAAGUACGCUACCUACAUCAAUCAGUCUCCCUUUCUCUCGAUCCAAGAUUCCAAGUUCAUACCGAGCUGGCGGCGCAGAGGCGGCGCGCGCGCUCAACCACCUCCUCCGCCCUCCGCCGCAGGUCCGCCUCCACGUACCUCAGCACCUCGCCGCCGGCAGCGGCCGCUGGAGAGAACAAAAAACCCAAAACCAAUUCCCAAUCGGAACUCUGCGUCACCAUAAAUUCAGAAUCCCGAACCGAUCCCCCGGAAAUUAAAAUACGGAGUAGAUCGAAUCAAGGAUGGGUCGGAGAGGGGUGGUGGUGGUUACCGGCCCCGCCGACGGUGACGACGGAGGACGGGGACGGCUUGGCGUGGACGACGACGAGCUCGGCGGCGGCCAUGGCGGCCACGUGGCGCACGGCCCACUCCAGCGCGCGGUAGCUGUGGUCGCUGUCGUCCACGCCCACCAGCACCACCGUCUUGUUCCUCGUCUCCUCCUCCUCCGCCGCCGCAGGAGCUGCUGCCGCUGCCUCAGUCUCCGCCAUGUAUGUAUGCUCUGGUCAGAAUCAGAGAGGAGGAUUCUCAAUCUGCCUGCUUCUUGCUUGCUUGAUCGGAGAGGGGUAGUGGUGGUGGGUCUUGACUCUUCACUCUUGUUGCAGGUUAUACAACGGCAGGCCGUGGACUAUAUAUAUAUAUACAACGGUGGUGAACUGCGCGAGCUGAGCUGAAAUCGGGGCUGACGAGGACGAAAACCGGAAGUGGAUCCGCCGCCGGGAAAUGGAAAACGGGAGGAGCUAAGCUGCUUGUUGCCUGCUCCGGUUUUCUCCUUUUUCCCGUUUCGUUUCUCGUCCUUGUCUUUGACUUUUCAGCUUGGACCUGCUGCUCUGCUCCUGCUAGUUGAGUGCUUGCUUGCUAGGAAAGACAGCAACAGACCAACUGAUGAUUAACCAACAGAAGCUUCGAUCUCGCAGAUUUGGUGUGAUGCAGCAUCGCACCGCACCGCAUUUCAUUCUACGUACGGUACAACAAAGCAAAAUCUACGUGCUUCACUCACUCCGGUAACUUUAUACUGAAUCUCCGACGCUUGUUACGGAUCGGAGGAAGAAUAAUUUUCGCUGGUUCGGCGAGACGGAAAGGUUAAUUACUCCUUUGUGUUCCGUGGAAAUGUGUGCCACCGGGACGCUGCUUUAGGCGAGAAAGAAGCACAAAACAUUCGACGAUAGAAAAGGCGCUCCCACAACUUGAUAUGGACAUGGAAUAUCUAAAGUCCGAUCCGAAAGAUCUGCUUUCAAAAAGAGUAAUUAUCUUCAGAAAUGUCUUGAUUACAUACAAGGUGGAGGCGUCAAGCAAAGGCACUUUUCAGCGACAGAAGCACUACGCACCGUGGUAACAACAGAGCGAGAAUUCCACGCCAAGGAAACGAGCAAACCGACGAACAAUGCAAGUCCUCUGUUUUUUCUUUCGGCAAGAAGAUAACACGCCAUGAAUUCCGUUGGCCUGGAUAAGCUUGAGCCAACAUCAUUUUGCGUGUGUCUGAUCGAGACCGGCCGGGAUUUCACCUUGAACUUGAUAUCGAUCGAUUCAGGGAAAGGUAUCGAUGGAUCGAUAGGUACGUGCAUGCACGGCACUCCCAAUUAAGCUAGUCUCGACCAACAAACUUCCGUUACACGUCACUCCGUCACUGACACGUUCGCACCGUGCUAUAUGCCCACGUUCGUACCUGCCUGCAUGAAUCGGUUAGAAUGAGUCCUCGUGCUCUUCUCUCUUAUAAUCUUGCCUAUUCUUUGUUCUCGUCGCGUAUGAGCCAACGAUUGUGACUCUAUGGAUGUUUUCUGUUAUGUCUUUGCAAUAUGUACGUGGUAAGUUGAUUUUCCAGUCAUUGGAUAUGGUCUGUGCUUAAGGUUCCGGACGAACGAUGAAAAAAGAAAGGUGAGACGACUUUUCAUUUUUAGAUAAGACGACCGAGAUAUAGCCACACCUAUGGAUGUUUUCUGUUAUUGUCUUUGCAAUAUGCACGUGUAUAAGAUACAUUGGUAAGUUGAUUUUCCAGUCAUUGGAUAUGGUCUGUGCUUAAGGUUCCGGACGAACGAUGAAAAAAAAAAGAUGAGACGACUUUUCAUUUUUAGAUAAGACGACCGAGAUAUAGCCCAGUUGCAGCUCGUACACAAGAGUUCCAUAUUGUUUUGUCAUUCGGUGGACCGAAUAGGCCGAACCGAAAUCAACGGGAAUUGGUCUUUGAAUUUCCAUUUCAAAAGUUUGAUCAUCAUGUUCGAAACCCAAAAUUCCUGAACGCUGGAUAGACCUAACCGUGCGUGACGACCGAUUGCCCGUUCCAGGCCUAAUUUCCACAAAGACAUGGGAGAGACGGCGGGUCCGCUUAUAUACACACACACCACCAGUUGACGUGGUGAAGAAGCCUCCCACUGCUUUCAUUUUGUUCCAAAAUCGCGUCCUGCACCUUUUCUUUUCCUCUUGUUGCUCACACGAGUUGCCGCCCCUCGUUUUCCUUGAAUCCACGAGCCGCGCGUGACUAGAUCGCCGCCUCCUUUCAUUUACUUGCCUCUUUCCCGUGCUCAAAUCACAGCCCCUGAACAUCUCCUUUUCAAGAACUGGUCUUCUCUGCCUGCCUGCUUCAGAAAUUAGCAGGCUUUCCCGUUUGGAAUCAGGGGUGUGUUUUUGACCUUGUGGUCAUGAAGUUCGCCAAGAAGUACGAGACGUACAUGAAGGGGAUGGAGGAGGAGCUCCCCGGCGUGGGGCUCAAGCGGCUCAAGAAGAUGCUCAAGAAAUGCCGCGCCGAGCUCGGAUCACACCAGCAAUCCUCCUCUUCCUCUUCCGACGCCGGCGGUGUCCGGUGCCUCGGCCAUUGCUCAGGUAAAAGAAGCCAUGACCAUUUCCGGUUUCCUGUUCUUUUCUGGUUCUGGUGCUGUAAUUAGUUCGUGAAAUCCCUUGCCGGUCUGUUAUUAGUAGCUGGAGGAAUCUUUUGCCGGUGUCCUGUUCUUCUUCUUCCUGAAUUAAGACCCUGCCCCCCCCCCCCCCCCCCCCCCUAAUGGAUGGAUUCCUCCUUUAGCAAAAUGACAAACCUAGAAGAGAGAAGACUACAAUCGGGUCGUUGUCAAUGCCCAUAUUUUGGAUUCCACUUGUUGCUAGUUUGCUACAGCAUGUUACCAGCGUGACAAAUCAUGUGUUAUAUAUAAAAAGAGCUUGACAAAUUCUGCGUGGAACCUGCACGUUGCAGCUACAACAUGCCUUUUUUUAAGAUGUACAACAUACACAAGUAAUGCAUGAAGAAAUCAAGGCUGAACCAUCAAAGAAGUUGAAAUUACAGCCUUGCAUGUUCAACUAUCAGUUCAAACUGAAUACUGACCAUAGAAAUGGUUUCACGCACUAAAUUAUACCAGGCCGUUAGCCGUUUUGUUGAUCUAACAAAUCGCAAGUGUACAUAUUGCUGAGCCCAGAGUACUGACCGUGAUGACAUCUAUUGACAAAGUCGCUUUACAAAGUCUAUAAAUAAAAUAGCACAAUUGCACCAACCAGUGUAGAGUCAACUGUGCUGUGUUUCAUAGGUUUAGCAAGGAACUUACUGCGAUUGGUGCAUCUGUUCCAUUGACUCCAAUUUUCUACUCUAUAAUAAAUCUCUGGAGUUGCCUACCAUGGUUUUGAGACAAUUAUUUAUGUGAACGACUGCAAAGUGCCAACAGACAAAACAAAAGUUCAUGCAUGGUUCAGCUGGCAUUGUAGAUGUUUAAAUUACCUUUCAAGGUUGGUUAGCUGACAAGUUCCUAACAAUACGCAGUAUGUGAUGGGAGUUUCUUCCCGUCCCUUCUCAACGAGAUGUCAGCCGUCAUUGGCUGCUUCAACAAGAAGGCCAAGAAGCUUCUUGAAUUACAUUUGGCAUCAGGUUUCAAGAAAUAUGCCAUGUGGUUCACCAACAAGGGCCACAAGAGCCAUGGGCAAUUGAUACAGCAAGGCAAAGACUUGGUUACAUAUGCAAUUAUAAAUGCCGUAGCGAUGAGGAAAAUUCUAAAGAAGUAUGACAAGGUAUGGUCUUCACUCAAACGACCUGAGCUUUUUUAAGGAUUAUCAGAAACGACCCUGCCUUUUCCAACUGUGAAAAGCACUAAUAAUAUUUAAGUUCUCAAUACAAUAGUAACAAAAGGAAAGAACUACUGGAUGUUCCUGCAUCAGAGGGGAGAAGAGGAGAAGCAAGCGAAUUUCAUGCAUUUUAGACUUAAACAGGCAAAUUGGAGUUAAGUUCUAAAUGCCAAUGCAUAUUGGAAUCAUCAGAUAGUCCAGAAUAUAUGAUGUUCUGUUUCAACUACGUAAUCAUAUUUCUGGUAUCAAAUUCUUAGUUGUCUUUACAUUUCAGAAAUAACAAUUGUGAAUCAACAAGUAAUAAAAAAACAAUGAUCAAAAGCACCUACUUUGCAGAUACAUUACUCGAAGCAAGGGCAGGAGUUCAAAGCUCAAGCCCAGAGCCUGCACAUUGAGAUACUUCAGUCCCCAUGGCUAUGUGAGCUAAUGGCUUUCUACAUGAAUCUGAGAAGGAGCAAGAACAACGAGGUUGCGAUGGAGCUCUUUGGUGACUGUUCGCUCACAUUUGAUGAUGAUCAGCCAACGCUCUCAUGCAACCUCUUUGACUCUAUGCGCGUUGAUAUUAGCUUGAUGUGUUCAAUUUGCUUGGUGAGCUCGCACUUUCUACUCAGAGCACCACUAUACACUAGUUACAUUAUUUCGAUCUAUAGUGAGGAUAACUGUUCCUACGUUUGUUGUAAUGCAUUCGACAUACAAUUCGUUGCUAGUGCAUUGCCACAUUGCGAUUUGUCUUCUUUGUGAUGUCUGAAAAAUUCAUCUGUUUUUCUUUUGCAGGACACAAUGUUUGAUCCGGUCUCUCUUUCCUGCGGCCAUAUAUUUUGCUACUUGUGCUGCUGUUCUGCUGCAUCAGUGACGAUUGUUGACGGACUGAAGUCUGCAGAUCAAAAAUCAAAGUGCCCACUGUGCCGACAGGUAAAAAUAAUUUCAUCAGUUUGGGGACAGUUGUGUGUGUAUGUCCAGCUGACUGCCCUCAUUUUCCAUUUCAGGUUGGGGUCUUUCCUAAUGCUGCACACUUGGAUGAGCUGAACAUGCUGAUAAGCUAUAGGUAAGUCUACAUCCCAACAAAUCCUCUGUGAGCAACGAUAUGACAGGAAAGGUACAAUUUUCUUCUGUACCUUGUGAUUAGUUUAUCAGUGUUGUAUAUCAACAGCUGUCCAGAGUUUUGGGAGAAGAGAAUGCAGAUGGAGCGAGUUGAACGUGUUCGCCUAGCUAAGGAGCACUGGGAGUCACAAUGUAGAGCAUUCUUGGGCAUUUGAUGGAACGUGUAAUCUUGGUUAAAAAAAAGGAAUUUCUCAUUGUUGACUUGUUCUUGGUUAGAUCUUGCUUUGUUGGAUAUAUCCUGCUGAAAUGAAUCGGCCUGUAAAGCGGGUUCACUUUUGUGCACCUAGACGAAAAGGAGGCACAUGUGUCGUGAUUAAUGAGUGUAGAACUGCAAAAGUGACCUGGCCUAUUUGGCCAAUUUGGCUUUCUGAUGUUUUACCACAGAUUUGGGCCUGCCAUCCAGAGGCACCUACCUCUAAAUAUACAUGAUCUCCAUUGUUAUUCAGGCAAUAUCUUGCAUGUUUCCGCCAUUUUCUAUGAAUAAGUGUAAGUUGUUCUGUGCGCUCAGAGGAAUUCAAGAACCAGGGUCAAGUUACUCCAAAGAUUAGGAUCAAAUUCCUUUGUUGAGACUGUGACGACAGGUUGCAAUACCAGCCCAUUGAAUCUUCUGAAUGGCCUGAUUUUCUAUUCAUUUAUUUGUUGUUAAGUCACUAAACGGCUGAUACUACCUGAACAAACACCAAGCAUCAUGCUUUAGGGAUAACACAUCGAUGGGUGCUACUUUUUUUCUCUAUAGAACACCAUUAAUGGAUGCUGCAAUAACAAUCAAGAUAAACAUUGUAAUCAUGGAACCUCACUACCUACUUCACUUAUCUUACUGUCUUCCCUAAAUGUCACUUUUCUAUUCCCUCUGCUCUAUCAAAAUCAGAUCCUAGAUGAAUAUAACUAAAAGGUUUUACAAAACUCUGGUGGCAUGGUGAUUUACUCCGACAGUUCAUAAUCACCAGUUCACCACAACUCCAGUUGCUGACACCAGAGAAAUACUUCCUCACAUCUUUGCCAGUAGAAUGCAAGAAGAAUACCUGACUUUGGAAAAUGUCUGAAAUGUGUCGGUCAUAAAUGGCUCGUUGCUUAGUCAGCUCUUAAUCUCAGGAUCUCCUUUGCUGUCCGCUUCCUAAAAUAUUCCAUAUGUUUCUGCAAAGAGUAAUAGGUUUAAACAAAUCAAACUACAAAGUACAGGGUAAACGGAAAUGCCACUGUAUAUAGGUGUAUGAGAGAGAUUUGAGCUUGACUUUGCAAUUUUGCAUAAGCCUCGUUGGCAGGCCUGUUCUGGAAGUCCUUGACUUCAGAGAAACUCAGGAACCCCCAAAGAGACCCUAAUGAAGCAUAUUUACUAAGUUCAAAUUCACUAGAUGUCUAUUAUACUCACCUGACUAAAAGACAGUCCGAGACCUCUGCUGUGGAAAUCGAUGAACUUGAGCAUAAACAUACCGCAAUCCCAUCUAUUACAAGGGAAGUUCAGCAUCAAACAAAUCCAUGUUUGCUCAUUGUUAACGCUAAGUACAACAUACAUUUCAGGUAGUGAAAAAUGAGCGUUGAAAAUGCAGCAGUGCACUGAAUGAUGAUAACUAACACUUCAUAUGAGUUUUUUGCGGAAACCAAAAGCAAACUGUUACUGGCAGGGAAUAAGCAGUGGAAAGGAAGGUGUACCCAUUAUGUUGCAAAGGAAAAGGAACUGGUCUUUCCAGCCAAGAAUUGAUGUCUAUCUCUAUGUUACUCUUGUCCUUCAAUUCAUCCAUAAUAUAUCUAGCCUGAAGAAACACAAAAACAUAACUUUUAAUUUAACAAAAAAAAACAAAUAGAAAGAUGAAGACUUACGAUAGCUACCAAUGGAUAUAUUCUAACUUCCCAAAUAAUAAUGCCAAUUUGCUGCUUGGUAAGUUAAACAUGAAAAGAUCAUAGAUGAUAAAAACUAAAGGAUACCUCUGAAGAUCUAUAAUAUCAUAAAUGGAACACAUUUUCCUUAUCUAUAGCACAGAGAGCAAAUCAUGUGAAUCAUGCGCAUGCAUAAGUUGUAAAAUAACAGUCCUCCUUUUGCUACUAUGAGCUAGCUCUGCCACCCACAUGCAUAAAUCAAACCUUGAGCACCACAGUCCACAGGCCCACCACAGAAUGAUUUGAAACAGUUACUUCAAAUGUUAUGCAUAAUCAUUGGAUUGCUAAGGAACUAUUUUCUGACAAGUCACAAGAGAAGUAAUUGGAGGCUAUACCUCUUAGCUCUCUAAGUGUUUUACUGUAAGACAUCCGUUUAGCAGAUAGUAUUUUACUCAAGAUAUCAGUUGAGCCUAC